AUCAUCAAUGAAUGCUAAAACUAGAUGUAAAAGUUUGAUGAGAAACAGGUUAUUUACAUAGUACUUAUAUAUGUACAUAUAUAAAUAUAUAUUGUUGUUAUAAAGGACAUUUUGACACAAUGGGGAAAAUGCCAAUAAGGUACAUAGAUUGAAUAAUAGUGUUUUAACUUCUUGAUAUUUCUGCUAUGGUUAUAUACUAGAGUAUUCUUGUGUUUAACAAUACUGCAAGUAUUUGGAUGUCAUGGGGCAUCCUGACAGCAACUUAAUGGUUCAGGGAACAAGAUAUAUGUGUGCAUUUGUAUAUUCAAAUAUGUACAGAGAAAGAGAAGGAUAAUGAUAACAUGUGGUGUAAGAGUUAAAUGCUAAUUAUCCUGAUUUGAUUAGAGCAUGCUAUAUGCUGCAUGUUGAGAUAGCACAAUGUGUGUUGAGAUAGCAAAAUGAUUCAAUUAAUAGGCACAAUUAAUACAUGUUCAUAAAAAGAUGACAAAAACAUCUUUUUUCUGAAUGAUUUUUCUAUGCUAUUUCUCAGUUAUCUUAACAGCAAAGUUAUAUUGUACUGAACAUAAAAUUAGUGAUAUAAUAUUGUUGAUUAAUUAUUAAAAAUCAUCCACUAGAAGGAAAUUUUAAAAAGAAAAAAAAGGAAGGAAAUGUAGUAAAUUGUUAACAUUUUGGGAAUCUGGGGGAAGUUUAUAUAAAAGUCUAUCUUACUUUUUUCAAGUUUUUAUAAAUCUGAAGCUACUUCAAAAUAAUUUUUUUAAAUGAUGGUUCUUAAAGAUGAGAUGUUCUGUGUAGAAGUGAGCCUCUUCCUGAAUCAAAAAGCUAAUCAAUUUGUUGAAAUAGUAUGAUUUCUCCAUUAAAAUUCUGUGACCCACUAAAAAAAAAAUUAUGUUAUUCACUAAGUAGAGCAAUUUUUUGAUGACACUAAGGAAGUCUUCUUCUAUUGACCUCCAGUUUAAUCUAGGUCAGCAUUUUCCUGAGUUUUACACAAAAACAAAUGUUUCUUUAAUCAGGGAAAUUUGUAAAAUGUUAAGCUUUAUUUCCUUCAUGAUUUCCUGUUUAUAUCAUGAAUCUGCAAGCAGUAGAUGUAGUUCCAUUAUUCUUUACAAAUAUUUAAUCUCAGACCCUUUUCUCACAAGAACUAUCAAGAAUGCAUCUUUAGGUAAAUGAUUGUGAAAAUCAUAUGCAAAUAUGCAAUCAUUUUCUAACCCUUCAUUAGAUCCAGUGGGCCUAUGUAAGAAAACAAGGAGACACAUGCCCCUCUGAUGGAUAACUCUCCCAUGAGGAUGAUUAACAAGCAUGUCAUGCUCUUGGAAAACAAUAGAGUUUGAAGAUUUAGGACAUUCUGUAGAGAACCUAGAAUUAUAAGACCAAAGGCUCAUCUUAAAACUUUUUAUACACAUCAAAAAUGUUUUGGGUUGGGGUGGAGAAUGUAACUCAGUGGUAGAGUAUGAGCAAACCUAGCAUGCAGGAGGUCCUGGAUUAACACCCCAACACACCAAAAAAUAUAUAUAAUUAAAAGCAGCAGUCUUUAUUAUGAC
This 1538-nucleotide long non-coding RNA is filed under the name Marmota monax (woodchuck). The record is from RNAcentral. Lineage: Eukaryota; Metazoa; Chordata; Mammalia; Rodentia; Sciuridae.